RNAcentral lists this ribosomal RNA (468 nucleotides) under uncultured bacterium. RNAcentral's name for it is "partial 16S ribosomal RNA". It matches the Rfam family "Bacterial small subunit ribosomal RNA", at positions 28 to 507 of the family's 1533-position model. The record is from RNAcentral.
GACGAACGCUGGCGGCGUGCUUAACACAUGCAAGUCGAACGGAAAGGCCCUGCUUUUGUGGGGUGCUCGAGUGGCGAACGGGUGAGUAACACGUGAGUAACCUGCCCUUGACUUUGGGAUAACUUCGGGAAACUGGGGCUAAUACCGGAUAGGAGCUCCUGCUGCAUGGUGGGGGUUGGAAAGUUUCGGCGGUUGGGGAUGGACUCGCGGCUUAUCAGCUUGUUGGUGGGGUAGUGGCUUACCAAGGCUUUGACGGGUAGCCGGCCUGAGAGGGUGACCGGCCACAUUGGGACUGAGAUACGGCCCAGACUCCUACGGGAGGCAGCAGUGGGGAAUAUUGCACAAUGGGCGGAAGCCUGAUGCAGCAACGCCGCGUGCGGGAUGACGGCCUUCGGGUUGUAAACCGCCUUCGCCUGUGACGAAGCGUGAGUGACGGUAAUGGGUAAAGAAGCACCGGCUAACUACGUG